Molecule: ribosomal RNA, 853 nt
Filed under: Levilactobacillus brevis
Lineage: Bacteria; Bacillati; Bacillota; Bacilli; Lactobacillales; Lactobacillaceae
Description: bacterial SSU rRNA
Rfam family: Bacterial small subunit ribosomal RNA
Source: RNAcentral
UGCAAGUCGGACGAGCUUCCGUUGAAUGACGUGCUUGCACUGAUUUCAACAAUGAAGCGAGUGGCGAACUGGUGAGUAACACGUGGGAAAUCUGCCCAGAAGCAGGGGAUAACACUUGGAAACAGGUGCUAAUACCGUAUAACAACAAAAUCCGCAUGGAUUUUGUUUGAAAGGUGGCUUCGGCUAUCACUUCUGGAUGAUCCCGCGGCGUAUUAGUUAGUUGGUGAGGUAAAGGCCCACCAAGACGAUGAUACGUAGCCGACCUGAGAGGGUAAUCGGCCACAUUGGGACUGAGACACGGCCCAAACUCCUACGGGAGGCAGCAGUAGGGAAUCUUCCACAAUGGACGAAAGUCUGAUGGAGCAAUGCCGCGUGAGUGAAGAAGGGUUUCGGCUCGUAAAACUCUGUUGUUAAAGAAGAACACCUUUGAGAGUAACUGUUCAAGGGUUGACGGUAUUUAACCAGAAAGCCACGGCUAACUACGUGCCAGCAGCCGCGGUAAUACGUAGGUGGCAAGCGUUGUCCGGAUUUAUUGGGCGUAAAGCGAGCGCAGGCGGUUUUUUAAGUCUGAUGUGAAAGCCUUCGGCUUAACCGGAGAAGUGCAUCGGAAACUGGGAGACUUGAGUGCAGAAGAGGACAGUGGAACUCCAUGUGUAGCGGUGGAAUGCGUAGAUAUAUGGAAGAACACCAGUGGCGAAGGCGGCUGUCUAGUCUGUAACUGACGCUGAGGCUCGAAAGCAUGGGUAGCGAACAGGAUUAGAUACCCUGGUAGUCCAUGCCGUAAACGAUGAGUGCUAAGUGUUGGAGGGUUUCCGCCCUUCAGUGCUGCAGCUAACGCAUUAAGCACUCCGCC